Small nuclear RNA from Amblyraja radiata (thorny skate), 163 nucleotides. RefSeq annotates it as U1 spliceosomal RNA. The record is from RefSeq and is a predicted model, not a curated record. NCBI's taxonomy places the organism in Eukaryota, Metazoa, Chordata, Chondrichthyes, Rajiformes, Rajidae. The transcript has a single exon.
CAGCUUACCUGGCGGUGGACAAUCGGAGGUCAGGAUGGCUGUUCUCCUAGGACAAGGCUUUCCCAUUGCACUCCGGGUGUGCUGAUGCCUGCGAUGUCACCCAAUGCAGAAUACUCGACUGCAACAUUUAUAGUAGUGGGGGACUAUUUUUGAGCGGCACGAU